RNAcentral lists this ribosomal RNA (497 nucleotides) under uncultured bacterium. Its description in RNAcentral is "partial 16S ribosomal RNA". It matches the Rfam family "Bacterial small subunit ribosomal RNA", at positions 28 to 507 of the family's 1533-position model. The record is from RNAcentral.
GAUGAACGCUGGCGGCGUGCCUAAUACAUGCAAGUCGAGCGAACAGAUGAGGAGCUUGCUCCUCUGACGUUAGCGGCGGACGGGUGAGUAACACGUGGAUAACCUACCUAUAAGACUGGGAUAACUUCGGGAAACCGGAGCUAAUACCGGAUAAUAUAUUGAACCGCAUGGUUCAAUAGUGAAAGACGGUUUUGCUGUCACUUAUAGAUGGAUCCGCGCCGCAUUAGCUAGUUGGUAAGGUAACGGCUUACCAAGGCAACGAUGCGUAGCCGACCUGAGAGGGUGAUCGGCCACACUGGAACUGAGACACGGUCCAGACUCCUACGGGAGGCAGCAGUAGGGAAUCUUCCGCAAUGGGCGAAAGCCUGACGGAGCAACGCCGCGUGAGUGAUGAAGGUCUUCGGAUCGUAAAACUCUGUUAUUGGGGAAGAACAAAUGUGUAAGUAACUAUGCACGUCUUGACGGUACCUAAGCAGAAAGCCACGGCUAACUACGUG